RNAcentral lists this ribosomal RNA (198 nucleotides) under uncultured bacterium. RNAcentral's name for it is "partial 16S ribosomal RNA". It matches the Rfam family "Bacterial small subunit ribosomal RNA", at positions 328 to 539 of the family's 1533-position model. The record is from RNAcentral.
ACGCUCGACACCUACGGGAGGUAGCAGUGGGGAAUAUUGCACAAUGGGGGAAACCCUGAUGCAGCAACGCCGCGUGAGUGAAGAAGUAUUUCGGUAUGUAAAGCUCUAUCAGCAGGGAAGAUAAUGACGGUACCUGACUAAGAAGCUCCGGCUAAAUACGUGCCAGCGGCCGCGGUAAUCUGAGCGGGCUGGCAAGGC